AAAUAGCUAAACUGAGCAGACAUGGGUAAGACCCAGGUAGCGGGCAAUAUGUUUUCACAGUUGGAUGUCAACUCGCUGAGAAGAGUAAUGGAAAUGUCACCCACCCCCAUAUGAAUAAACACCAGAUGCCAGGUCUUCCAACAAGAUGUCAGUAUAUUAAAGAUAAUGCAGCGAUUCUUGCACUAUCUUUAAUUUGGACUUCGGGGAUGCCAUGCCAUCAGCAACCUGGCAUGACAGAGAGGAUGUCUGCUGGUCUUGCCAGGAUGUUGGCAAGAUGCCACCGCUGUCACCUUCUCUGGUAAGUCCCUAUCUUUAUGGAAACAUCCCACCAUCUUUCAAGAAAUG
Molecule: long non-coding RNA, 345 nt
Filed under: Salvator merianae (Argentine black and white tegu)
Lineage: Eukaryota; Metazoa; Chordata; Lepidosauria; Squamata; Teiidae
Description: lncRNA (ENSSMRG00000015153.1)
Source: RNAcentral